RNAcentral lists this long non-coding RNA (479 nucleotides) under Medicago truncatula (barrel medic). RNAcentral describes it as "long non-coding RNA (MTRU_LNC002733)". The record is from RNAcentral. Lineage: Eukaryota; Viridiplantae; Streptophyta; Magnoliopsida; Fabales; Fabaceae.
UUCAAUCGGCAUUCAACAAGCAAAAACCAGAAGCAAUUAUAGAAAAAACCAACACCGGUCUCCAACUCUAUUUGACACCUUUCAUUCCAAAUGAACACUCCAGUAUCCACACUCCUAAAUUUGAUUGAUUAAAGGGAUCGCAUAAUAAAAGGCUCCAAUAUCAAAAAAGCACAGCAAAAAUAGGUCCACAAGUACAGCAAAACUCAAAAAGCAUUGCUUAACAAAGAAAGCAAUCACAGUGACCAACUGAAUCACAAAUUGAGAGAAAUUUAACAAAUAAAAAAACACUUAAUAAAGAAAGCAGUUGCAACUUUGAUAUCUACCUUGUAAGAACGCUAGACCUUAAGGUACAUCACUAGCACUUCAACUUUGGAUCAAUUAUAGUUCACAAAUCUAAUUUAGAACAAAUAAAAAAACACUUAAUAAAGAAAGCAGUUGCAACUUUGAUAUCUACCUUGUAAGAACGCUAGACCUUAAGG